RNAcentral lists this ribosomal RNA (985 nucleotides) under uncultured bacterium. Its description in RNAcentral is "bacterial SSU rRNA". It matches the Rfam family "Bacterial small subunit ribosomal RNA", at positions 50 to 1064 of the family's 1533-position model. The record is from RNAcentral.
AAUACAUGCAAGUCGAACGAUGAAGCUUUUAGCUUGCUAGAAGUGGAUUAGUGGCGCACGGGUGAGUAAUGCAUAGGUUAUGUGCCCUUUAGUCUGGGAUAGCCACUGGAAACGGUGAUUAAUACUAGAUACUCCCUACGGGGGAAAGUUUUUCGCUAAAGGAUCAGCCUAUGUCCUAUCAGCUUGUUGGUGAGGUAAUGGCUCACCAAGGCUAUGACGGGUAUCCGGCCUGAGAGGGUGAUCGGACACACUGGAACUGAGACACGGUCCAGACUCCUACGGGAGGCAGCAGUAGGGAAUAUUGCUCAAUGGGGGAAACCCUGAAGCAGCAACGCCGCGUGGAGGAUGAAGGUUUUCGGAUUGUAAACUCCUUUUGUUAGAGAAGAUAAUGACGGUAUCUAACGAAUAAGCACCGGCUAACUCCGUGCCAGCAGCCGCGGUAAUACGAAGGGUGCAAGCGUUACUCGGAAUCACUGGGCGUAAAGAGCGCGUAGGCGGGGUAGUAAGUCAGAUGUGAAAUCCUAUGGCUUAACCAUAGAACUGCAUUUGAAACUACUACUCUAGAGUAUGGGAGAGGUAGGUGGAAUUCUUGGUGUAGGGGUAAAAUCCGUAGAGAUCAAGAGGAAUACUCAUUGCGAAGGCGACCUGCUGGAACAUUACUGACGCUGAUGCGCGAAAGCGUGGGGAGCAAACAGGAUUAGAUACCCUGGUAGUCCACGCCCUAAACGAUGAAUGCUAGUUGUUGUGAGGCUUGUCCUUGCAGUAAUGCAGCUAACGCAUUAAGCAUUCCGCCUGGGGAGUACGGUCGCAAGAUUAAAACUCAAAGGAAUAGACGGGGACCCGCACAAGCGGUGGAGCAUGUGGUUUAAUUCGAAGAUACGCGAAGAACCUUACCUAGGCUUGACAUUGAUAGAAUCUGCUAGAGAUAGCGGAGUGCUGGCUUGCCAGAGCUUGAAAACAGCUGCACGGCUGUCGUCAGCUCGUG